This 403-nucleotide ribosomal RNA is filed under the name uncultured Edaphobacter sp. RNAcentral describes it as "bacterial SSU rRNA". It matches the Rfam family "Bacterial small subunit ribosomal RNA", at positions 355 to 775 of the family's 1533-position model. The record is from RNAcentral. Lineage: Bacteria; Pseudomonadati; Acidobacteriota; Terriglobia; Terriglobales; Acidobacteriaceae.
UGGGGAAUUUUGCGCAAUGGGGGAAACCCUGACGCAGCAACGCCGCGUGGAGGAUGAAAUCCCUUGGGAUGUAAACUCCUUUCGAUCGGGACGAUUAUGACGGUACCGGAAGAAGAAGCCCCGGCUAACUUCGUGCCAGCAGCCGCGGUAAUACGAGGGGGCAAGCGUUGUUCGGAAUUAUUGGGCGUAAAGGGCGCGUAGGCGGUUUGACAAGUCUGAUGUGAAAUCUCUGGGCUCAACCCAGAGUCUGCAUUAGAAACUGUCGAGCUUGAGUAUGGGAGAGGUGAGUGGAAUUUCCGGUAUAGCGGUGAAAUGCGUAGAUAUCGGAAGGAACACCUGUGGCGAAAGCGGCUCACUGGACCAUUAACUGACGCUGAGGCGCGAAAGCUAGGGGAGCAAAACA